Molecule: microRNA precursor, 87 nt
Filed under: Microtus ochrogaster (prairie vole)
Lineage: Eukaryota; Metazoa; Chordata; Mammalia; Rodentia; Cricetidae
Description: miRNA (ENSMOCG00000006133.1)
Source: RNAcentral
GAGCAAGCUGUGGAGAGCAAGCCAGUAAGCAGCCUUCCGGUGUGGAAUGACCUCUGCUUCAGCUCCUACCUUGAGCUGCCUAAGCUU